Molecule: long non-coding RNA, 205 nt
Filed under: Sorghum bicolor (sorghum)
Lineage: Eukaryota; Viridiplantae; Streptophyta; Magnoliopsida; Poales; Poaceae
Description: long non-coding RNA (SBIC_LNC018199)
Source: RNAcentral
GCCCCACGUAUAAAAUUUUGAGGGUACAUAUGAGCUACACAAGAAAAGAAGUUGAGUACACCUUUGAGUCAACUUAAGAUUCAUUUAAAAGAGAGAAAUUCAUCGGCGGUCUCUCAACUUGACUCAAAGUGUCAUCUAGAUCUAUGAACUUUCAAAGUGAUACCUAUAAGAGUGUCAUUCAGGUCCUUAAACUUUCAAGAUGAUC